CGCAAUGGGCGAAAGCCUGACGGAGCGACGCCGCGUGCAGGAUGAAGUGCUUCGGUAUGUAAACUGCUUUUGUAGACUAGAAAGUUUAUUGAUCAGUCUAAGAAUAAGGAGUUGCUAAACUCGUGCCAGCAGCAGCGGUAAUACGAGUGCUCCAAGCGUUAUCCGGAAUCAUUGGGCGUAAAGGGUGUGUAGGCGGUUGUGUUAGUCUUCUGUGAAAUUCUUCGGCUUAACCGGGGUCCCGCAGAGGAAACGGCACAACUAGAGGAUGCGAGAGGUAAAUGGAACUCAUGGAGUAGGGGUGAAAUCCGUUGAUAUCAUGGGGAACACCGAAAGCGAAGGCAAUUUACUGGCGCACUCCUGACGCUGAAACACGAAAGCGU
Molecule: ribosomal RNA, 380 nt
Filed under: uncultured organism
Description: bacterial SSU rRNA
Rfam family: Bacterial small subunit ribosomal RNA
Source: RNAcentral